UUGAACGCUGGCGGCAUGCUUUACACAUGCAAGUCGAGCGGCAGCGCGGGGGCAACCCUGGCGGCGAGCGGCGAACGGGUGAGUAACAUAUCGGAACGUACCCAGUAGUGGGGGAUAACUAACCGAAAGGAUAGCUAAUACCGCAUACGCCCUGAGGGGGAAAGUGGGGGAUCGCAAGACCUCACGUUAUUGGAGCGGCCGAUAUCGGAUUAGCUAGUUGGUGGGGUAAAGGCUCACCAAGGCGACGAUCCGUAGCGGGUCUGAGAGGAUGAUCCGCCACACUGGGACUGAGACACGGCCCAGACUCCUACGGGAGGCAGCAGUGGGGAAUUUUGGACAAUGGGCGAAAGCCUGAUCCAGCCAUGCCGCGUGAGUGAAGAAGGCCUUCGGGUUGUAAAGCUCUUUCAGCCGGAAAGAAAUCGCGCAGGCUAAUACUCUGCGUGGAUGACGGUACCGGAAGAAGAAGCACCGGCUAACUACGU
This 482-nucleotide ribosomal RNA is filed under the name uncultured bacterium. RNAcentral describes it as "bacterial SSU rRNA". It matches the Rfam family "Bacterial small subunit ribosomal RNA", at positions 29 to 506 of the family's 1533-position model. The record is from RNAcentral.